Molecule: ribosomal RNA, 499 nt
Filed under: uncultured bacterium
Lineage: Bacteria
Description: partial 16S ribosomal RNA
Rfam family: Bacterial small subunit ribosomal RNA
Source: RNAcentral
GACGAACGCUGGCGGCGUGCCUAAUACAUGCAAGUCGUGCGAACCACUUCGGUGGUGAGCGGCGGACGGGUGAGUAACACGUGGGCAAUCUGCCCGACAGACUGGGAUAACGCUUGGAAACGAGUGCUAAUACCGGAUACGCUCUUGAAUCGCAUGGUUCGAGAGGGAAAGCUGCCUUUGCAGCACUGUCGGAUGAGCCCGCGGCGCAUUAGCUAGUUGGUGAGGUAACGGCUCACCAAGGCGACGAUGCGUAGCCGACCUGAGAGGGUGACCGGCCACACUGGGACUGAGACACGGCCCAGACUCCUACGGGAGGCAGCAGUAGGGAAUCUUCCGCAAUGGGCGCAAGCCUGACGGAGCAACGCCGCGUGAGUGAUGAAGGCCUUCGGGUUGUAAAACUCUGUCUUCUGUGAAGAACAAGCCUAUGACGAGAAUGCUUAGGCCCUGACGGUAACAGAGGAGGAAGCCCCGGCUAACUACGUGCCAGCAGCCGCCGUAA